GAUAAGCGCUGAAAGCAUCUAAGUGCCAAGCUCUUCCCAAGAUAAGGUUUCCCUGAAGACCCCAGGUAGACUACCUGGUUGAUAGGUCAGGCGUGUAAGUGUGGUAACAUAUUUAGCGGACUGAUACUAAUUGGUCGUUCGGCUUGAUCGCUUUUUUUU
Molecule: ribosomal RNA, 159 nt
Filed under: Verrucomicrobiales bacterium
Lineage: Bacteria; Pseudomonadati; Verrucomicrobiota; Verrucomicrobiia; Verrucomicrobiales
Description: partial 23S ribosomal RNA
Rfam family: Bacterial large subunit ribosomal RNA
Source: RNAcentral